This 29-nucleotide non-coding RNA is filed under the name Mus musculus (house mouse). Lineage: Eukaryota; Metazoa; Chordata; Mammalia; Rodentia; Muridae. The record is from RNAcentral.
UCACCGUGAUGGCUGCUUUGCUUGAUGGA